Paramuricea clavata is the source of this 401-nucleotide non-coding RNA. NCBI's taxonomy places the organism in Eukaryota, Metazoa, Cnidaria, Anthozoa, Malacalcyonacea, Plexauridae. The record is from the annotation of a GenBank genome assembly.
CAAACGCACUUGAGAACUCAAGCGGAUGUCAACAAAAGUGACGGCAACAUAUUUUAAUCACGUUUCACCCGAAAUAAGACAUCCUUAUCACAUCUGGCAAUACAGGACCGAAGUAACAUCUCGAGGAAGAAGACACGACUGUGUAUAUUGUCUAUUGUACAUUACUAGUUCCACUUUAGUUACGCUGGGCGGCUAGCAACAAACAGUGUCGACAGCUGGCGAAGAAGAUAUUAAGAAAGACUAAAAGAUGCGAAGUUUUCUACGGAUUGUUUUUGUGCUGUUCUUCUUUUCAUUUCACCAAGAAGGGAAUGCUACAAGAUAUCUUCCUUCGAUUGUAUGGGAUAAUCUCAAUCCAAUGUAAGCAUUCUUUAGUGCUAGAUAUAUAUAUGUAUACUGGCUAG